Molecule: ribosomal RNA, 291 nt
Filed under: Triticum aestivum (bread wheat)
Lineage: Eukaryota; Viridiplantae; Streptophyta; Magnoliopsida; Poales; Poaceae
Description: partial small subunit ribosomal RNA
Source: RNAcentral
AUGUUUAACAGAGUUGAGCGGAUGCUUCGAGGAGUCAGGCAUGUGCCAAGGCUAAGGAAUCUAAUUUCGCUUGGAUUUCUUCAUCAUGGUGGUAUGGUAUUCCGUUGUGAUCGGGAUAAGAAGACCAUGAGAAUCAUGGAAGAUGAGGUGACCGUGAUGAUUGGAGCGAGGACGGCUUCCCAUCUUUACAAGUUGCAAGGGAGCACUAUUGCAGGUGGAGUCAUGUUGACUGGAGUUGCAGGAGUAGCAGCAGGGUCUCAUGGCGGCGGCGGGUCUGGGGUAGACUCGUAG